AGAGUUUGAUCCUGGCUCAGGACGAACGUUGGCGGUGCGCUUAAUGCAUGCAAGUCGAGGGAGAACCAUUUGAUUCGUAAGAUUCGAAUGGGGAAACCGGCGAACGGGUGCGUAACACGUGAGGAACCUGCCCUGAAGAUCGGGAUAGCCCGGGGAAACCCGGAUUAAUACCGAAUAUCCUCUCCGGACCGCAUGGUCUGGUGAGGAAAUGGUCCGCCGCUUCAGGAUGGCCUCGCGGCCUAUCAGCUUGUUGGUGAGGUAACGGCUCACCAAGGCUAAGACGGGUAGCUGGUCUGAGAGGACGAUCAGCCACACUGGGACUGAGACACGGCCCAGACUCCUACGGGAGGCAGCAGCAGGGAAUAUUGCACAAUGGGCGAAAGCCUGAUGCAGCGACACCGCGUGCGGGAUGAAGGCCUUCGGGUUGUAAACCGCUUUCAGGAGGGACGAAAAUGACGGUACCUCCAGAAGAAGGCCCGGCCAACUACGUGCCAGCAGCCGCGGUAACACGUAGGGGCCAAACGUUGUCCGGAUUUAUUGGGCGUAAAGGGCUCGUAGGCGGUUCAACAAGUCGAUCGUGAAAACCCGGGGCUCAACCCCGGGACGCCGGUCGAAACUGUUGUGACUAGGGUCCGGUAGAGGUGAGUGGAAUUCUCGGUGUAGCGGUGGAAUGCGCAGAUAUCGAGAGGAACACCAGUUGCGAAGGCGGCUCACUGGGCCGGUACCGACGCUAAGGAGCGAAAGCAUGGGGAGCAAACAGGAUUAGAUACCCUGGUAGUCCAUGCCGUAAACUGUGAACACUAGGUGUGGCGGAUCUAUUGAUGUCUGCCGUACCGUAGCUAACGCGUUAAGUGUUCCGCCUGGGGAGUACGGCCGCAAGGCUAAAACUCAAAGGAAUUGACGGGACCCCGCACAAGCGGCGGAGCAUGCGGCUUAAUUCGAUGCAACCCGAAGAACCUUACCUGGACUUGACAUCAUGGGUCUACCUGUGGAAACACAGGGUGCUUUUGCGCCCAUGACAGGUGGUGCAUGGCUGUCGUCAGCUCGUGUCGUGAGAUGUCGGGUUAAGUCCCUUAACGAGCGAAACCCUUGUCCCUAGUUGCCAGCGGAUCAUGCCGGGGACUCUAGGGAGACUGCCGGUGUUAAACCGGAGGAAGGUGGGGAUGACGUCAAGUCCUCAUGGCCUUUAUGACCAGGGCUGCACACGUCCUACAAUGGCGCGCACAGAGGGAUGCGAACUCGCGAGAGCAAGCAAAUCCCAAAAAACGCGCCUCAGUUCGGAUUGCAGGCUGCAACUCGCCUGCAUGAAGCCGGAAUCGCUAGUAAUCGUGGGUCAGCAUACCACGGUGAAUGUGUUCCUGAGCCUUGUACACACCGCCCG
RNAcentral lists this ribosomal RNA (1381 nucleotides) under uncultured bacterium. RNAcentral's name for it is "bacterial SSU rRNA". It matches the Rfam family "Bacterial small subunit ribosomal RNA". The record is from RNAcentral.